Molecule: ribosomal RNA, 494 nt
Filed under: uncultured bacterium
Lineage: Bacteria
Description: partial 16S ribosomal RNA
Rfam family: Bacterial small subunit ribosomal RNA
Source: RNAcentral
GACGAACGCUGGCGGCGUACUUAACACAUGCAAGUCGAACGGUGAAGCGCCUUCCUUUUUGGUGGGUGUGGAUGAGUGGCGAACGGGUGAGUAACACGUGAGUAACCUGCCCCCUUCUUCUGGAUAACCGCAUGAAAGUGUGGCUAAUACGGGAUAUUCUGGGUCUGUCGCAUGAUGGGUCUGGGAAAGAUAUUGUUUCGGUGGGGGAUGGGCUCGCGGCCUAUCAGCUUGUUGGUGGGGUGAUGGCCUACCAAGGCGGUGACGGGUAGCCGGCCUGAGAGGGUGGACGGUCACACUGGGACUGAGACACGGCCCAGACUCCUACGGGAGGCAGCAGUGGGGAAUAUUGCACAAUGGGCGCAAGCCUGAUGCAGCGACGCCGCGUGAGGGAUGGAGGCCUGCGGGUUGUGAACCUCUUUCGCCAGUGAAGCAGGCCUGCCUCGUUUGUGGGUGGGUUGACGGUAGCUGGAGAAGAAGCGCCGGCUAACUACGUG